GUCCUGGUCAAAACUUCAUUACGCUUUGUUUCUGGGAUCUGAUCCAGCUUAGUUCCUAUUACCAGCAGUGGAAUCUGGUUAUCAGCAAACUGUUCACGGUCGUAGUCACCGUUUGUCACAAGAACUCCUGUGGGAGCGACAUCUCUGUUGAGUGCUUCCAAAGACCAGCGAUAUAAAUUCUGGGAUGAUUUCUUGUUGGUUAAGUCAUGCACUAAAAUUAUCCCAUUCAGCGAGUUAUAAAAUACUGCUCUUGUGCUUUUCACACUAGUGGCACUACCCACUGAACCUCCA
RNAcentral lists this long non-coding RNA (291 nucleotides) under Gallus gallus (chicken). The record is from RNAcentral. Lineage: Eukaryota; Metazoa; Chordata; Aves; Galliformes; Phasianidae.